GACGAACGCUGGCGGCGUGCCUAAUACAUGCAAGUUGAGCGCUGAAGGUUGGUACUUGUACCAACUGGAUGAGCAGCGAACGGGUGAGUAACGCGUGGGGAAUCUGCCUUUGAGCGGGGGACAACAUUGGGAAACGAAUGCUAAUACCGCAUAAAAACUUUAAACACAAGUUUUAAGUGUGAAAGAGGCAAUUGCAUCACUCAAAGAUGAUCCCGCGUUGUAUUAGCUAGUUGGUGAGGUAAAGGCUCACCAAGGCGAUGAUACAUAGCCGACCUGAGAGGGUGAACGGCCACAUUUGGACUGAGACACGGCCCAAACUCCUACGGGAGGCAGCAGUAGGGAAUCUUCGGACAUGGACGAAAGUCUGACCGAGCACCGCCGCGUUAGUGAAGAAGGUUUUCGGAUCGUAAAACUCUGUUGGUAGAGAAGAACGUUGGUGAGAGUGGAAAGCUCAUCAAGUGACGGUAACUACCCAGAAAGGGACGGCUAACUACGUG
This 497-nucleotide ribosomal RNA is filed under the name uncultured bacterium. RNAcentral's name for it is "partial 16S ribosomal RNA". It matches the Rfam family "Bacterial small subunit ribosomal RNA", at positions 28 to 507 of the family's 1533-position model. The record is from RNAcentral.